RNAcentral lists this unclassified non-coding RNA (249 nucleotides) under Hevea brasiliensis (rubber tree). The record is from RNAcentral. Lineage: Eukaryota; Viridiplantae; Streptophyta; Magnoliopsida; Malpighiales; Euphorbiaceae.
GGGAAAGAAAAACCAUAGUUUGAGAGUAAUAAUUUGUUUAGGAGAAGGACACCAAUGUUGGAUGAGUACCAGAAGAUGAUAAGUGAAGCAAUGAAAAGGGUUUGUUUUUCUGAUUGUGCUGAUGACAUUUUUGGGUUUGUGGGUAAGUGAAUUCUUGAAUUUGUGAAGGAAUUUCAAGAAAAUUUCAAUGAGUAAAUCUUGUUGAUGGGAAUGUGUGUUUUGUUUUUCCUCAGAUUGAGGAAAUCUUUC